GAUGAACGCUGGCGGCGUGCUUAAUACAUGCAAGUCGAACGGAGACAUUAGCAAUAAUGUUUUAGUGGCGAACGGGUGAGUAACGCGUUGGUGACCUGCCCCGAAGAGAGGGAUAACAGUCCGAAAGGAUUGCUAAUACCCCAUGUGGUCAUUUGGAUUAGAUGCCUUAUGACUAAACGGAUUUAUUCGCUUCGGGAGGGGCCUGCGUACCAUCAGCUUGUUGGUAGGGUAAUGGCCUACCAAGGCUAUGACGGUUAGGGGACCUGAGAGGGUGGCCCCCCACAAUGGAACUGAAACACGGUCCAUACACCUACGGGUGGCUG
Molecule: ribosomal RNA, 323 nt
Filed under: uncultured Chloroflexota bacterium
Lineage: Bacteria; Bacillati; Chloroflexota
Description: bacterial SSU rRNA
Rfam family: Bacterial small subunit ribosomal RNA
Source: RNAcentral